AAUGGGCGAAAGCCUGACGCAGCGAUCCCCGCGUGGAGGAUGACACCUUACGGGGCGUAAACUCCUUUUUUGGUGGAAGACGAAAGACGGUACACCCAAGAAUAAAGGACGGCUAACUACGUGCCAGCAGCCGCGGUAAUACGUAGGUCCUAAGCGUUAUCCGGAUUUACUGGGCGUAAAGCGUCUGUAGCUGGAAAAAUAAGUCUGUUUUCAAAUACUGUGGCUCAACCAUAGAAAGGGAAUGGAUACUGUCUUUCUAGAGGUUAUUAGAGGUUAGUGGAAUUUCCGGUGGAGCGGUGAAAUGUGUUGAUAUCGGAAGGAACGUCAAAAGCGAAAGCAGCUAACCUAUAAUAAACCUGACGGUCAGAGACGACAGCUUGGGUAGCAAACGGGAUUAGAUACCCCGGUAGUCCAAGCUGUAAAUUAUGCUUGCUAGAUGUUUUCUCCAUUUUGGAGGGAGUGUCGUAAUCUAACGAGUUAAGCAAGCCGCCUGGGUAGUAUAUACGCAAGUAUGAAACUCAAAGGGAUAGGCGGGGGAACACACAAGCAGUGGAUUGUCUAGAUUAAUUGGAUAAUAAGCCAAAAAUCUCACCUAAACUUGACAUGUACUGUGUCCUAUGUGAAAGCAUAGUAGUCCGAGCAAUCGGACACGGUAUACAGGUGGUGCAUGGUCGUCGUCAGCUCGUGCCGCAAGGUGUCUAGUUAAGUCUAGGAACGAGCGCAACCCUCAUCUCUAGUUAGAAUGUCUAGAGAGACUGCUCGGGCAACCGAGAGGAAGGAGAGGAUGACGUCAGAUCCUCAUGCCCCUUACGUUUAGGGCUUCAUAGGCAAUACAAUGGGUGAUACAACGAGAAGCAAUACCGCGAGGUGGAGCAAAUCUUUAAAAUUAUCCUUAGUUCGGAUUGUAGUCUGGAACUCGACUGCAUGAAGUUGGAAUUGCUAGUAAUGGCGGGUCAGCUAUACCGCCGUGAAUAUGUCCCUGUUCCUUGCACUCACCGCCCGUCAAACCAUGGGAGUUGAGGCUCUUUGAAG
RNAcentral lists this ribosomal RNA (1032 nucleotides) under uncultured organism. RNAcentral's name for it is "bacterial SSU rRNA". It matches the Rfam family "Bacterial small subunit ribosomal RNA", at positions 370 to 1426 of the family's 1533-position model. The record is from RNAcentral.